AGAACCUUACCUACUCUUGACAUCCAGAGAACUUUCCAGAGAUGGAUUGGUGCCUUCGGGAACUCUGAGACAGGUGCUGCAUGGCUGUCGUCAGCUCGUGUUGUGAAAUGUUGGGUUAAGUCCCGCAACGAGCGCAACCCUUAUCCUUGUUUGCCAGCGAGUAAUGUCGGGAACUCCAGGGAGACUGCCGGUGAUAAACCGGAGGAAGGUGGGGACGACGUCAAGUCAUCAUGGCCCUUACGAGUAGGGCUACACACGUGCUACAAUGGCGCAUACAGAGGGCAGCCAACUUGCGAGAGUGAGCGAAUCCCAAAAAGUGCGUCGUAGUCCGGAUUGGAGUCUGCAACUCGAGUGCGGGAAGUCGGAAUCGCUAGUAAUCG
RNAcentral lists this ribosomal RNA (380 nucleotides) under Vibrio harveyi. RNAcentral describes it as "bacterial SSU rRNA". It matches the Rfam family "Bacterial small subunit ribosomal RNA", at positions 965 to 1344 of the family's 1533-position model. The record is from RNAcentral. Lineage: Bacteria; Pseudomonadati; Pseudomonadota; Gammaproteobacteria; Vibrionales; Vibrionaceae.